UACGGAGGGGGCUAGCGUUGUUCGGAAUUACUGGGCGUAAAGCGCACGUAGGCGGCUUUGUAAGUUAGAGGUGAAAGCCCAGGGCUUAACCCUGGAAUUGCCUUUAAGACUGCAUCGCUGGAAUCGUGGAGAGGUGAGUGGAAUUCCGAGUGUAGAGGUGAAAUUCGUAGAUAUUCGGAAGAACACCAGUGGCGAAGGCGACUCACUGGACACGUAUUGACGCUGAGGUGCGAAAGCGUGGGGAGCAAACAGG
Molecule: ribosomal RNA, 253 nt
Filed under: uncultured bacterium
Lineage: Bacteria
Description: partial 16S ribosomal RNA
Rfam family: Bacterial small subunit ribosomal RNA
Source: RNAcentral